This 402-nucleotide ribosomal RNA is filed under the name uncultured bacterium. Its description in RNAcentral is "bacterial SSU rRNA". It matches the Rfam family "Bacterial small subunit ribosomal RNA", at positions 355 to 774 of the family's 1533-position model. The record is from RNAcentral.
UCGGGAAUUUUGGGCAAUGGGCGAAAGCCUGACCCAGCAACGCCGCGUGAGGGAUGAAGUAUUUCGGUAUGUAAACCUCGAAAGAAUGGGAAGAAUAAAUGACGGUACCAUUUAUAAGCUCCGGCUAACUACGUGCCAGCAGCCGCGGUAAUACGUAGGGAGCAAGCGUUGUUCGGAUUUACUGGGCGUAAAGGGAGCGUAGGCGGCGCGGUAAGUCACUUGUGAAAUCUCUGAGCUUAACUCAGAACGGCCAAGUGAUACUGCUGUGCUAGAGUGCGGAAGAGGCAACCGGAAUUCUUGGUGUAGCGGUGAAAUGCGUAGAUAUCAAGAGGAACACCUGAGGCGAAGGCGGGUUGCUGGGCCGACACUGACGCUGAUGCGCGAAAGCCAGGGGAGCAAACG